GAUUAAAUGAUGAUAAAAUGUCACUGAACAAGUUGGCCGCCUCUAUUUUUGAGAAAGUUAACUUUCAUAGGAUGUUCGCAUUUGCGAGGCAUUUGUCUGAUACAUAC
This is a small nucleolar RNA of Rhagoletis pomonella (apple maggot), 107 nucleotides long. RefSeq annotates it as small nucleolar RNA Me28S-Am2589. Lineage: Eukaryota; Metazoa; Arthropoda; Insecta; Diptera; Tephritidae. The transcript has a single exon. The record is from RefSeq and is a predicted model, not a curated record.